RNAcentral lists this ribosomal RNA (496 nucleotides) under uncultured bacterium. RNAcentral's name for it is "partial 16S ribosomal RNA". It matches the Rfam family "Bacterial small subunit ribosomal RNA", at positions 28 to 523 of the family's 1533-position model. The record is from RNAcentral.
GAUGAACGCUAGCGGCAGGCCUAACACAUGCAAGUCGAGGGGUAGAGUUAGCUUGCUAACUUGAGACCGGCGCACGGGUGCGUAACGCGUAUGCAAUCUACCUUGUACAGGGGGAUAGCCCAGAGAAAUUUGGAUUAAUACCCCAUGGUGUUUAGAAGUGGCAUCACUUUUUUAUUAAAGUUCCAACGGUACAAGAUGAGCAUGCGUCCCUUUAGCUAGUUGGUAUGGUAACGGCAUACCAAGGCUAUGAUGGGUAGGGGUCCUGAGAGGGGGAGCCCCCACACUGGUACUGAGACACGGACCAGACUCCUACGGGAGGCAGCAGUGAGGAAUAUUGGUCAAUGGUCGCAAGACUGAACCAGCCAUGCCGCGUGCAGGAAGACGGUCCUAUGGAUUGUAAACUGCUUUUAUACAGGAAGAAACCCUCUCACGUGUGGGAGCUUGACGGUACUGUAUGAAUAAGCAUCGGCUAACUCCGUGCCAGCAGCCGCCGUAA